This 2334-nucleotide long non-coding RNA is filed under the name Xyrichtys novacula (pearly razorfish). Lineage: Eukaryota; Metazoa; Chordata; Actinopteri; Labriformes; Labridae. The record is from RNAcentral.
GCAGAGCAGCGCUGUCUCUGCCCACGACUCAGAGGUGAAUUGCUAAUGAGCUACUGGAGCUCUGCAGAAGAAAAGCCCUUGAAAAUGACACAGGUAACGCGAUUUUUGGUAAAAACUUCAUAAUCACAAUUUAAAGACCACUGAGAACACUUUAAGUAGUGAAAAAAAUGAUCAGAGAGGGACUUUAAAGCCACUAAUCCACCUUCUUAUCUGGAGACCCUGUGCUCCCUCAUCCUGUAGGAUUCUCUGGAUUGCUGCUGUAGACAGCCUGCUUCUGUGGGCCUGCCUGCAAUUCAGCUGAUUCAACGACAUGGCCCAGUCCCACAGUCGGCUGGCCUUGGCUCUGAUGCAUGGAUAAAGGCAGGCAUUGUUUAGAAAAGUCCCUCUGAGAUUUGUACUUAUUUCUGCAGACACCUGGAAUUUUUAAAAAGUGUGGCAUCUCCCCUUGGAAUACAGAAGAUAUUUGCAGCACAGAAUACAAUCCUCAUUGUGCACUUGUAUCAUUCUUCUUGUGUAAUGCAGUAUGACUGGCCAACUAGUCAAAAGAUAAUUGGUAUGAGGCUUUAAGUACAGAAUUAACUUUUCCAAAAGAGAAUUAACAUUUUUACUUUUUCAUUUUCCUUCACCUUAUUUUUCACAUUCUUAAAUCCAUGCAUGUGUAGUCCAUACAUGCAGGGCUGACUGCCCUAUUUAAACCUUUUCACCUUUGCUGUCUAUUACUUGUGUGCUCAUAUGUGAGCAGGGUGCUGCAGGGGUAAAGGAGGUAACCAAGGAACUGCUGUUGUGUAUAAAUCCUGCAAGCAACUUAAUGUAAGCAGACUUGGCACAGCUGAAGUCUGCUAAAGAACAUGUAUGCUGUUUAUAGUCCUACAGUGACCUCUGUUGGUAAAGUGAAAUAAGCUUCAUUCAAGUUAAAUUACAUUUUAAUAAGAAUUAAACACGCAAGUAAAUUGUGCAAAAUUUUGUAAAAGAGCAGUCCUGGGCAUGCAGCAACUAUAAACAAGUUCGACUUACUUAUGCAUGACAGUUGGGAGCAGCACUUACAUGAAUGACAAAGAAGAGUAAGUUGUGGACUCAGUCUCCAAAAAUGUUAGACUAGAGAAUCACCCUUGACCUUUUUAAACCAUCUUGGUGUGAGCUUGUGGUGAUAGGUAAUCUCAUUUAGUCAACAUAAUGCUACUUGCAAAUCUAAAUCUUAGUCAUGCAUGCUUUCACCUCCCCCUGCUGCAUGACUAUACAUUUAAUGGCUGUAUUGAGGCAAAUACUGCUAUAUUUAAGUUUAUUUUUUCCCUAAAAGGUUGGUUCUGCCAGGGUCCUUAUAACCCAAACUCAGUGGCAGAACUGAGAGUAUUUUGGCUUCAUACACUUUACCAAUAAUGUAUGAUUUAUGGACAGAGUUAUGAAUUGUGACAUCUAUUGUGAUGCUGUUCUUAAGAGCUUCAGACUGUGAAAAGGAGACUUAAUACGUGUUCUAAUUCUUGGCAGAUCUCAUAAUUUUGGGUCAUAAAUUGGGUUGACAUAAAUUAAGCUUUCAUCAAUAUAAAAAGUAAAUAGUUUUGCACCAACAGUUAAUUUAUAUAUAAUCUGUAGAAGAGCCCUAACAUCUUCCCCCUAACCAAUGGCUUUAAAACAAAUUCCACAUAGUUUUUCUUGCUUGAGUUUCCUUUUGUCAGGCAUUGCCGGCUAACAGAGACAGAUGACAGAGAUUUAGUCAUUUAUUUUGUUACUGUUUAUUCUUACAAAGGUCAACUGAAGGCAGGUGCUUUUUUAAACCACUAGAGAGCACCAGUGUACCAACAAUUUUUAGGUUUAAUCCCUUGCAAAGUACCUAAUCUUUGGGAUUGUUCACUUAAUGAGCCUAACAACAAGAAAAGUUAGAUAACAGAAACUUUCAUAAUACCUUUUGUGUUUGUCCCUCUGAAAGCACCCAGAUUAAGUUCAGGAAAGGCUGAAGGAAAACUGGAAGAAAUACUGGAUGAGCGUCUACCAAAUUCCUGGUUGACUUCGGUCAAAAGAUACCACAUAUUGUCUCGUAUUUCAGGGAGGGACCAUUUCUCAGGGAUUUUGGUUUUUAUUUCAGCUGUUCAAAACAAUAGAUCUGUGGUGUAUGCAAAGCAGUAAUACAGAUACAAGGUUAAAGGAAAGUAUUAGCUCUUUUGCAAUUGAGCCUACAUCACACAGUCAUGUUAUUAGGCUUAUUGUUUUUAAUGCUUUUCAAACAUACAACAGUCUUUGAAGGCAGCAAAUCUUAGCCUUUCACAAAUAAAGGCCUCUCACGCACUAACAAACACACACGCACACGGGAUCACGUUCAUGUCAGACCAAUGGGAUGGG